GCGCCCUUAGCUCAACUGGAUAGAGCAUCUGACUACGGAUCAGAAGGUUGGGGGUUCGAAUCCCUCAGGGCGCA
This 74-nucleotide transfer RNA is filed under the name Gemmatimonadales bacterium. Its description in RNAcentral is "tRNA-Arg". It matches the Rfam family "tRNA". Rfam says of the family: Transfer RNA (tRNA) molecules are approximately 80 nucleotides in length. Their secondary structure includes four short double-helical elements and three loops (D, anti-codon, and T loops). The record is from RNAcentral. RNAcentral also lists the same sequence under 1 other name. Lineage: Bacteria; Pseudomonadati; Gemmatimonadota; Gemmatimonadia; Gemmatimonadales.